GCUCCUGUAGCUCAGUGGUAGAGCGCCUCACUAGUAAUGAGAAGGUCGUUUGUUCGACUCAAACCUGGAGCUC
This 73-nucleotide transfer RNA is filed under the name Paracoccaceae bacterium. Its description in RNAcentral is "tRNA-Thr". It matches the Rfam family "tRNA". From Rfam's summary of the family: Transfer RNA (tRNA) molecules are approximately 80 nucleotides in length. Their secondary structure includes four short double-helical elements and three loops (D, anti-codon, and T loops). The record is from RNAcentral. Lineage: Bacteria; Pseudomonadati; Pseudomonadota; Alphaproteobacteria; Rhodobacterales; Paracoccaceae.